CCCCCAGUUGGUAUCAUCAUGCAGCUGCCAUAGAAACACUUUUAGGUGUCUCAGGCUCAUCUCAAAUUCACCAGAGACAUUUGGCUCAUUAAUUCAAAUGUCAAGGAAAAUGCAUCGACUGCCAGGAGUCGGUCACUACCAGGCACCAAAAAUAAUGGAAGAGAGGUUUGGUUCUGAUCUGUAAAGUUCCUUCCCAGGUUCCGUUGGCAAGGGAGAAAGCAGAGGAAUCGCUAAAAAGCAAAGAUUGCCAGGUCAGAUGCCUGGCAAAUUCCCUUCAUCAAGCUGGGCUCAGCACCUUCAUUUCAGAAGGCUGAAAGGGCUGCAGGAGGAAGAUCUAUGCCGUGUUUGUCCUCCCAAACUAAUCCGGGUUUCUGCCACCCACCUGUAUUUCCAGAUUAGAUACAGAGGGGCUAAAACUAGAUUCCUAUUGUCCACUUCAAGGUAACAAGUCCUGUGACCAGAGGAUGGAUUUUCUGGAGUCAGUUAAAAAU
Long non-coding RNA from Empidonax traillii (willow flycatcher), 491 nucleotides. RefSeq lists it as uncharacterized. Lineage: Eukaryota; Metazoa; Chordata; Aves; Passeriformes; Tyrannidae. The record is from RefSeq and is a predicted model, not a curated record. The transcript is spliced from 3 exons.